This is an RNA transcript of Aricia agestis (brown argus), 2418 nucleotides long. RefSeq lists it as uncharacterized. NCBI's taxonomy places the organism in Eukaryota, Metazoa, Arthropoda, Insecta, Lepidoptera, Lycaenidae. The transcript is spliced from 13 exons. The record is from RefSeq and is a predicted model, not a curated record.
UUUGUGUUGAUUUUACUUAUUUAGCAUAUUAUAUGAUUUUUGUUUAUAAAUACAUAAGCCCUAAAUAUACUACCGUGCUUGAAACAAGUAAAGGUCAUUAAUGUUUUGAUAAUUUGUUUUAUUUAAAAACUUUGCUAAGAUGUCUUUAGAAAACGAAAUUAAAGUUCUUAAAGAAAACAAUAAUGAACUCGUUCAGAAAGUCCAAUUCUGGAAAAUGACUGCUGCACAAAGAGAAAAUGAAAAUGUAGAGCUCAUGAAAGAAAUCACAGAUCUUCGACUAAAGCUCAGUAGGCUUAAAAACGCGGGGAACGAUGAAGCUCACAAAUUGGAUGCAGCAGUGCAAAAAUCGAGUGAGGAGGUUCUGUCCCACUUAGUCCAGGCUUCGAAUGCGGUGGCUCGCUCCAUGGACUUUGUAAAAACCUACAUGCACAAGAGGCAGGAGCUGGAGGCUACGCUGCCCAGGUGGAGCACCAUCAGCGAAGAUCACUCCACAAAGAAGAUUCAUAAAGUGAGGCCAAUGGUCGCUGGCAGGAGUGUCCAACAACCAUUCGUUUUGUUGGAUAGAAGUGUUGUCAGAAGAAACCAAACAAAUGAUAGAAAUGAGGAUCAGAAUCACAAUGUAGCAGAGAGGGCCAUACCAAUGCAUAUGUUGCUAGAUGUUUACAUACCCUUAAGAAGGAUAGAUGCUGAGGGCACACAGGCCACCAGUGACACCAAUGAGGAUGAGGAACAGGAUCCCAACGACAGUGCAGAGAACUUGGGCUUGGAAGGUGGGGAGGAGAGAGUUCCAGAUGAAUUUGAAAAUGUUACAACUGAUGAUGCAUUUGAGGAGACAAGGGGCCUGCAGGCUGUGUCAGAAGAAUCAGAGGAAGAGGCUGAACAAACUCCACAGAGACCUCAAACUGAUGAUCCCCUAGAAGGUCCUAGUUGGUUGUUGGACAGGCCAAAUCCGAUGGUGACGACGCGUCGUAAUUUAGAGCCGGACUCGACGACGGGCACCGAAUAUAAUAACCACUCUCCCGGAGUAGAGCAAAUGAUAAACAAGAUAAGAAGGAACAGUCAGGUGAUGCGCGACGCAGCAGGCGACUGCGUGCGCGCGGCGUACGCGUCGCCGGGCGGGGCUAACGUGUUCUCGCCCACCGUGCGUCGGCGCCGCGCCACGCCCCCGCCCCCCGCCACGCCCGCCUCCCCGCAUCCCGCCAGACGCUCCAGCAACAUUAGCGGGCGCGUCCUGAAAGUGCUGGUGCCGAAGAUCCACCUGGAGGCGUCGCCGGUGUCGCCGCUGGUGUCGCCGACGCUGCCGGUGCGGCACAAGCGGCGCGCGCACGACGCCGCUGACUCGCCGCUCAAGCGCCCAAACAUCAUGCGCUUCGACGCCCCCAGCCCCAACGGGGCUACUGACUCCAAAGUUAUUGUUAUGGAUACAAACUGCAGUCAGCCGGAGCCGGGCGGGUCGGGGACGAGACGGCAGUCAGUGCGGGACGGCCGACCGGACGAUCGAAGCCCGGACAAGCGAGCGAGUCGGCCGGCUAGUCAUUCGGUUCGGGAUGGCCGGCCGGACGAGCAGCCGGACAAGCGAGCGGGCGUGGCCGGUCGAGACAGUCGACCGGCCGACCGGACCGGACGGGAGAGCCGGCCGGAAGAUCGGACCGGACGGGAGAGCCGGCCGGAAGACCGGGACAGCCGGUCCGUCAGUCAGUCGGUCCGGGACAGCGACAGCGAGAGCGAGAUGCUGGCCGACCGCCGCCCAAGACGACAGAAGAAGGCUGUCGUAUACAAAGAGAAACCACUCAACAGAAAAAUGCGAAGAUGAAGACUGAUGACAUCAGACUGAUAGUAAAUAGAAGUAGUUAGCCGAAGGAAAAUAGGUUAUCUCACUCGUGUUCGCGCUGUUUCGAUGCUUGAGAAUCGGGCCACAGGUGAUACGAGGACAUAAUAGGAAUUGUGAGCCCACCACGUUAGUUAUUUAGAUACUUACUUUUAAUUUAAGUACGACUAAAAUACUGAGCCCUUAGACAAGAUAUUUUCGAUAUUUCACUAUCGAAAUUCGAAAUCAAAUGUGUGGGAUUGGACAUAUUGGCAUCAUAAAAUAUGACAUGUUACCUGGGCGGUGGGCCCUUAUUCAUGUUAAGUUAUUCAAUAUGUUGCAUCCUGCAUUUAAAUCGGAGGACCAUAAGUUUGUACCCUGUUGUUUAGCAUUAUUACUAUUACUAGCAUUAUAUUAAAAUAAUAUAAAUAGUAAAUAAGUUGUUAUGACCAAUUUUGUGUCACACAGAUGCUGUAAAUAGCAGGUGUCUUAUAUGAAUGCAUUUGAACAGUGUCUUAUGUAUUAUUUAUACUGAAUUGCCUAACUAGAACAUAACAUUUAAAAACUUCAAUACUCAAGUAGUCAUGGCGUUAUUACUUGUAAUUUGUAAA